Brienomyrus brachyistius is the source of this 927-nucleotide long non-coding RNA. RefSeq lists it as uncharacterized. The record is from RefSeq and is a predicted model, not a curated record. The transcript has 3 exons. Lineage: Eukaryota; Metazoa; Chordata; Actinopteri; Osteoglossiformes; Mormyridae.
AAAACUCAUAUUUUAUCGUACAAGGGUUGUCAUGGGAAUAACGUGGUGCUUCCCAGGUUGACUCCGGAGUGCAAGGAAUAUCUGGGACAAUCAAUCUUUAGCUGGGAUGAAAGCAUUUCCGUGGAUGCAAUGAGACUGCAUGGACUCCGAAGCUCAGCUCGUAUAGAGGAGGAAGCCACCAAAGACAGGCUGUGAAUCUGGGUGUGUUUCCUGCUGUCAAGGAGGGAGAGACAAGGAGCAGAGCAGCAGCUGCAUCGCUGAGCCCCAAAGCCGCACGCACAGCUGCCUGUGACAGACGCUCACCAUAUGAAGUGUGACACACCUCUGAGGGAGGGGACAGUGUCCUGAGGGAGGGGACAGUGUCCUGAGGGAGGGAACAGUGUCCUGAGGGAGGGGACAGUGGCAGCACGGGGCCUCCUGGGGCCACACACCCUCCUGCGAAGCCGUCCAAAACGGCCCGAUACUCCACAAUGGGGAACAUUUCACAUAAUGUCAGGGUCUCCAUGAAUAAAUGUUUCAUGGCUUUUUUUCCCAACUAAUUUUAAGGUUAUUUAGAACUGUUUAUCAUUGUUAAUGUUAACAGUAAUAUAGUUUUCAGUUUUACAGUCACAUCCUUUAAAUGUCACCACCCCCCCCCCCCCAUAUAACUUGUAUAACUGUUGCAUUAGAAACGGAAGGAGACGAUGAGUGUGUGGUAGACGUGGGACAGAGUGUCACCAAGAGGCUCCUGUGUAAUUAGGCUGUUUUCCGCUGUUCAUGACUAAUGCCUUCCUUCAGAAUGGGCUUGUCUGUGACACUAACGAGCGCCGGUUUCGGCUGGUGGCCAAAGUGGCCAGGAGGUCGCUUCUCAGGGUCAAACUGAGCCUCUCGGGGGGGGGGGGCAGCCAGUGCCUGGCAGGGCCCAGCAGGGGGCACUGUUUCCCACCA